AAAUUGAAGAGUUUGAUCAUGGCUCAGAUUGAACGCUGGCGGCAGGCCUAACACAUGCAAGUCGAACGGUAACAGGAAGCAGCUUGCUGCUUUGCUGACGAGUGGCGGACGGGUGAGUAAUGUCUGGGAAACUGCCUGAUGGAGGGGGAUAACUACUGGAAACGGUGGCUAAUACCGCAUAACGUCGCAAGACCAAAGAGGGGGACCUUCGGGCCUCUUGCCAUCAGAUGUGCCCAGAUGGGAUUAGCUUGUUGGUGAGGUAACGGCUCACCAAGGCGACGAUCCCUAGCUGGUCUGAGAGGAUGACCAGCCACACUGGAACUGAGACACGGUCCAGACUCCUACGGGAGGCAGCAGUGGGGAAUAUUGCACAAUGGGCGCAAGCCUGAUGCAGCCAUGCCGCGUGUAUGAAGAAGGCCUUCGGGUUGUAAAGUACUUUCAGCGGGGAGGAAGGUGUUGCGGUUAAUAACCGCAGCAAUUGACGUUACCCGCAGAAGAAGCACCGGCUAACUCCGUGCCAGCAGCCGCGGUAAUACGGAGGGUGCAAGCGUUAAUCGGAAUUACUGGGCGUAAAGCGCACGCAGGCGGUCUGUCAAGUCGGAUGUGAAAUCCCCGGGCUCAACCUGGGAACUGCAUUCGAAACUGGCAGGCUUGAGUCUUGUAGAGGGGG
RNAcentral lists this ribosomal RNA (670 nucleotides) under Salmonella enterica. RNAcentral's name for it is "bacterial SSU rRNA". It matches the Rfam family "Bacterial small subunit ribosomal RNA", at positions 1 to 660 of the family's 1533-position model. RNAcentral also lists the same sequence under 1 other name. The record is from RNAcentral. Lineage: Bacteria; Pseudomonadati; Pseudomonadota; Gammaproteobacteria; Enterobacterales; Enterobacteriaceae.